Molecule: transfer RNA, 59 nt
Filed under: Romanomermis iyengari
Lineage: Eukaryota; Metazoa; Nematoda; Enoplea; Mermithida; Mermithidae
Description: tRNA-Arg
Source: RNAcentral
AUUUAAAGAUUAAAGCUUAAUAAAAAGGAUUUCGAAUCCUGAAACAAAAAGUUUGUUUU